GGGCGCUGAGGCAGAGAGAUGCUCCUCAACUGAGACAGAUGCAGAGACAGGAGGGAGACAAGGAGGCAGAAGGGAGAGACCGCCAAACUGGAGUGCUGAGUCUCAGCAUGAAGAGAGACCGUGAAAAGACAGAAGUAUCCUGGAGGCUCAGACAAGAAGAUGUCAAGAAUGCUUUGCUCUGGGAGCUGCAUCCUGCCUCUACAGCCAGCUGGGUCUUUGGAAAGAAAUGAUCUAGAGAGCAGAGCUCUCGCCCAGAACUGGCGAAGCCCCCCUGAGCCAGCAUCUUCCACAUCAGAGACCUUCUAGGAUUACUUCAGUCUGACAGAGAUCCUAGCCUUGGAACAAGUUCAACAUCCUUACACUGGGAUAGCUGAGCCUCAGACUUAGAAGGCAAGCAGUGGUCACCUGCACAUUGGAUCAAAUCGCAUCAUGAACAAAAGACCAUGGCAUGACUGUGAGACAGAGUUCCACUUUAUCGCCCUCAGUAGAGUGCCAUCGCAUCACAGCUUACAGCAACCUCCAACUCCUGGGCUUAGAUGAUGCUCUUGCCUCAGCUUCCCAAGCAGCUGGGACUACAGGCACUCACCACAAUGCCUGGCUAUUUUUUGUUGCAGUUUUGGCUGGGGUCAGGUUCAAACCCACCACCUGUGGUAUAUGGGGCCAGCGACCUACCCACUGAGCCACAGGUGCCACCCAGCCUUGCAAUAUUUUCUAAUAAAAACCCUGCGGGUGCUGAGGGGCUCCCUCUCUGCAGAGUGAUGGUGAGCCUCUCUCCUUGCAGCAUGUACUGAUCAUCCAUGUCCUGUGACCCAUUUCCUCAGACAAACUACAAUUUCUACAGGGAAACUGCAACACCAUUUCAUUCAGCAGCCAAAGAAACUUCAGUCUAUGCUUAAUUUUUACACCUUUAUUUUUUAUCUUUUCCAUUUUACAAAAGACAUAUGUACUUAAAUGCCAUAUGCUGACCUUGAAGGAGAAAAUAUCUGGGAUCUCCCCACACUGGGCUUGAGACUCAUUUAGCCCUAUUCUAUUGAAGGACAGAUUUGCCCUCAAUGAACAGCUCCAUAGAAAAAGAAGUUGUGAAAUCGUCGUUGGUUUUUUUUACACAUAUAUGUAUGUACAUGUGUUUAUUUGGUUUCCACUUUUUGCCUUCACAAAAUCAGAAAGGCUUAAAAUUUAGUAACAAUAAUGAUGUUUAAGAUACAGACUAGAAACAAAAACCUUGUAAAGAAUGUACAAAGAUAAAUACAUUCAGAAAAGAAAUCAGAUGAUUGCUGCAACAAAAUAUUGAGCAAUAAUAAUAAUGCAAAAAAAGUAACAUUCACAUUGUCAAAUAAGAGUAUGUCUAUUAUAGAAUGCUUUAACUCUGAGGUUCAGCAUGGAGUCAUCAGUUUACUUCUUAUUUUUUCCCCAAAGUCUCAAAAAAUAGACAACUAAUAUUUAUAAAUAAAAAUAAAAGAUAAUUUCAAAAAACAGAUCAUGUCAAAUCUUAUAGACAACAGAAAAAGAAGAAAUACUUCAAAAUCAUUCUACUUCAUCUGGAUACACCUGAUAUUAAAAUUGGAAAAAAUAUAUUAUUAUAAAGGGAAAUAACAAACAUAUUUCACUUAUAAACGAGGAUACAAUAUCUUAAACAACAUAUUAACAAGUUGAAUUAAAAAUUAAUGUUUAGGCUUGGCGCCUGUGGCUUAGGCAGCUAAGGUGCCAGCCACAUACACCUGAGCUGGCAGGUUCAAACACUGCCAGGGCCGCCAAACAACAAUGAUGGCUGCAGCCAAAAAAUAGCUGGGCGUUGUGGCGGGUGCCUGUAGUCCCAGCUACUUGGGAGGCUGAGGCAAGAGAAUCGCUUGAGCCCAGGAGUUGGAGGCUGCUGUGAGCUGUGAUGCUACAGCACUCUACCCAGGUGACAGCUUGAGGCAAUGUCUCAAAAAAAAAAAAAAUUAAUGUUUAAGUAAUGUACUUUGGUCAAAAUUAAAUCCAAUUUAUGUAAGAGUUAGUCACUAGUUUCUUUUCUUUUUUUUCCUUUCCUUUCCCUUACCCCCUCCCUCCUCUGCUCUCCUGUUCCCCUAUACCCCACCGUGUCAUUAAUUGUCCUUAUAUCAAAGCAGAAUACGUAAGAUUCAUACUUAUCCAUUCCUGUGAUGCUUCACUGAGAAUAAUGUGUUCCACCUCCAUCCAGGAUAGUACAAAUGCUGCAAAAUCUCCAUUUUUUUUUUUUUUUUUUUUUGGUAGAGACAGAGUCUCACUUUAUUCCCCUUCAUAGAGUGCCGUUCGUUGCAGCUCACAGCAACCUCCAACUCCUGGGGUUAGGUGAUUCUCUCUUGCCUCAGCCUCCCGAGUAGCUGGGACUAUAGGCACCCGCCACAAUGCCCGGCUAUUUUUUGAUGCAGUUUGGGCGAGGCCGUGUUUGAACCCACCAACCUCGGUAUAUGGGGCAGGGGCCCUACCCAUUGAGCCACAGGCGCCGCCCAAAAUCUCCCAUUUUUUUUUUUUAAUGGCCAACAGCAUUCCAUUCCUGGGUUGAAGGGCAUUUAGGCUGUUUCCACAUUGAAGCGAUUGUAAAUUGAGCUGCGAUAAACAGUCUAGUAGAAGUGUCUUUAUAAUAAAAGUUUUUUUUUUCCUUCUGGAUAGAUGCCCAGUAAUGGAAUCGCGGAAUCAAAUGGGAGGUCUAAGUUGAGUUCUUUGAGGUUUCUCCAUACUUCCUUCCAAAAAGGUUGUAUUAGUUUGCAGUCCCACCACCAGUGUAAAAGUGUUCCUUUCUCUCCACAUCCGUGCCAGCAUCUGCAGUUUUGAGAUUUUGUGAUAUGGGCCAUUCUCUCUGGGGUUAAUGAUAUCUCAGGUUUAUUAUUUCUCUAAUCAUUAUGGAUGAUGAGCAUUUUUUCAUGUGUUUGCUAGGCAUUAAUCAUCUUUGGUUUUACAAUGAUAUAUUUAAAAAGUUAAAAUCACCCAUUCAAACAAGGUACAAAAUGAUUACUAUGUUUUUGCCACCAUAACCACUGCCACUGCAGUAGUAACAAGAAAAGCUAAAGUCCCAGGACAUAAAGAUCAAGCUGGCCAAGAGAGCCGCUGGUGAAGGGAGGGAGUCUUUCCAUGGGACCAGUAUUUCCCCCAUCCCAUCAAUCUAAAAUAUGGAUGAAGGGGGCGGCGUCUGUGGCUCAGUGGGUAGGGCGCGGGCCCCAUAUACCGAGGGUAGCAGGUUCCAAUCUGGCCCUGGCCAAACUGCAACAAAAAAAAAAUAGCCAGGCAUUAUGGCGGGCGCCUAUAGUCCCAGCUACUUGGGAGGCUGAGGCAAGAGAAUCACAUGAGCCCAAGAGCUGGAGGUUGCUGUGAGCUGUGUGAUGUCAUGGCACUCUACCGAGGGCGGUAAAGUGAGACUCUGUCUCUACCAAAAUAAAUAAAUAAAUAAAUAUGGAUGAAGGCACAUAUACCGUUGUCCCUGGUUCCCUAGUGGUUGGGGAUAGGGGAGAAGUCAGUUGAUUUUUUUUUUUCAAAUAAAAUGACCACACACCUAAGCUUACAUCCUUGGGACUUCACCCAUCAGCUCUACUAAUAACACAGGCAGGCAGUGAAAGUACAUGUAGUGAGAAUAAGAUGGAGUCAGGCAGGCUAGGGCAGACAUGACACAGCUAGUUUGGUCAGUUUAGGUCCUGCCUGAACUUCAUGCCAUCUCCCAUUCUUACUGUUUUAUAAAUUUAGCUCCCAACAUAAAGAUGCUUAUCUUGAGUCGUUUAGGUGGAUUGAUUUAAGAGAUUAACUUUUAUUUAUUUAUUUAUUAUUAUUUUUUUUUGUAGAGACAAGAGUCUCACUUUAUGGCCCUCAGUAGAGUGCCAUGGCCUCCCACAGCUCACAGCAACCUCCAACUCCUGGGCUUAGGCGAUUCUCCUGCCUCAGCCUCCCGAGUAGCUGGGACUACAGGCGUCCGCCACAACGCCCGGCUAUUUUUUUGUUGCAGUUUGGCCGGGGCUGGGUUUGAACCUGCCACCCUGGUUGUAUGGGGCCAGUGCCCUGCUCACUGAGCCACAGGCGCUGCCCACUUUUAUUUAUUUAUUUUUUAUUAAAUCAUAGCUGUGUACAUUAAUGCGAUCAUGGGGCACCAUACACUGGUUUUAUAGACUAUUUGACACAUUUUCAUCACACUGGUUAAUAUAGCCUUCCUGGCAUUUUCUUAGUUAUUGUGUUAAGACAUUUA
Molecule: long non-coding RNA, 4189 nt
Organism: Nycticebus coucang (slow loris)
Lineage: Eukaryota; Metazoa; Chordata; Mammalia; Primates; Lorisidae
Exons: 4
Source: RefSeq, a predicted model, not a curated record